CGACACUUCACCUCUCCCCUAGCUCUUCUUGCAGUUAAAUGUUCACCAGCAUGAAUACACACAUUAACUACCCACCCCUACCCCUCAUCCCUUCCCCACACCAUGAGAUGGGCUUGUAGCAUAUCUAGCAGGAAAAUAAAUCCAAACUCUGACAGAUCGAUAGGAGCAGCAUUCCAAUAUUAAGGAAACUUGGUAGAAAGACCAUGCCAGCAGCUCCCUCCUAUUGAGAGAGAGGCAAUUUCAGCCCAAGCACCUCAAGAGACAGCUAAUACACUAUGGCACAGGAAGCUGGCUCUCAGACUACAGACCGGUCAGCCUCACUUCAGUCCCUUGAAAAAUCAUGGAGCAGGUCCUCAAGGAAUCCAUUUUGAAGCACUUGGAGGAGAGGAAGACCAAGGAUCAUGCAAAGAAUGAUCCCACCUAACAUUAGCCAACACUAUUAAUCAGACUGAUUAUAGUAUCUCUCUUAAUUUAUUGCAAGAAAUAGACAAAUAAAGUUCCACUGUACUAAGAUACUUCCUUAGCGCCUUCUUUUGGUGCCAAUGAAGUUCAUCUUGAAUUUCUUAGAACUCCUAUUAAAAUCUUUUUCUCUGUGAUCUCUCUCAUUCAAAUAAACUGCCAAUGCAAUUUGUUGUAUGCAGUGUAGUUGUAACUGUGUCGGAAUGAGGAUACUAGAGAGACAAGGUAGGUGAAGUAUCAUCUUUUAUUGGACCAGUAUCUCGUUUCAUAAUUACUUCACCUUGGAAGUAGUUUCUCUUCUUCCUAGUCACUAAGUACUCCAUAUACAACCAUUUUAAAACAAACAUUAAACCAGGUUUUCCUCUGCAGCACACAAAGUUUUAGGUUUCCUUUUUCACUUCAGUCUGCUUCUGUGUUGUAUUCAUGACUGAGUCUGUCCACAACUGUAAGUGGAAAUUUGUUAAACAUACUGCCACAGUUUGGACAGAUGCAUUUUGUUGUUAACAAGGCUGACACUCUGGAAGAGACUGCUGUGGUAGGGUAGGUGGUAAAAAUGAAAUAAAGUACAUUGAUGAAUAUUUUCCAACCAACUAUCCAUUACCAAUUAUUUCAAUCAUCAGCUACUGUUUCCUAGUGAUGAGAGUUAAACAUUACAAAUUAUAUUUCUAAACUGUUCCCAUCUGCUCACUGAGCUAAGCGUUCAAAAGCUAGCACGAGCACAAAUCUUCACAGGCUUAUUCUAGGGUGCAAACACAAUUUAGGAACAUACUUUACACAAAUGAGGUGGAAGGACAAGGAAAAAUCAGUGAAAUUUGUAGUCAGCUAUGGAAAGGUAAUGCAGAGCUUUUUCCAUCUGAGCACAAACACAGAGCAUGCAUCUGCCUAACUUUUUUUUUUUUAGAGUAACUUAAGCCUAUUUGUUUGUCCUCUCUCCUAUUUUGCAGAGCCCUAGCAUCUUGGAGGUUGUGCUUUUUUGGGUUUCCCCAUAGUUCUGUCCCAACAAAGAUGCACCAGGCCUCCAGGUCAGAUUCCAGAGAUGUUCCUAAUUGUUACUUUCUGGCAAAGAUAAAGAUUGGACUUCUAG
This is a long non-coding RNA of Gopherus flavomarginatus (Mexican gopher tortoise), 1543 nucleotides long. RefSeq lists it as uncharacterized. NCBI's taxonomy places the organism in Eukaryota, Metazoa, Chordata, Testudines, Testudinidae. The record is from RefSeq and is a predicted model, not a curated record. The transcript is spliced from 3 exons.